This 505-nucleotide ribosomal RNA is filed under the name uncultured bacterium. Its description in RNAcentral is "partial 16S ribosomal RNA". It matches the Rfam family "Bacterial small subunit ribosomal RNA", at positions 28 to 507 of the family's 1533-position model. The record is from RNAcentral.
GACGAACGCUGGCGGCGUGCCUAAUACAUGCAAGUCGAACGCACAGUUUAUACCGUAGCUUGCUACACCAUAGACUGUGAGUUGCGAACGGGUGAGUAACGCGUAGGUAACCUGCCUGGUAGCGGGGGAUAACUAUUGGAAACGAUAGCUAAUACCGCAUAAUAUUAAUUAUUGCAUGAUACUUAAUUGAAAGGUGCAAUUGCACCACUACCAGCUGGACCUGCGUUGUAUUAGCUAGUAGGUGAGGUAACGGCUCACCUAGGCGACGAUACAUAGCCGACCUGGAAGGGUGAUCGGCCACACUGGGAAUGAGAAACGGCCCAGACUCCUACGGGAGGCAGCAGUAGGGAAUCUUCGGCAAUGGACGAAAGUCUGACCGAGCAACGCCGCGUGAGUGAAGAAGGUUUUCGGAUCGUAAAGCUCUGUUGUAAGAGAAGAACGGGUGGGAGAGUGGAAAGUUCACACUGUGACGGUAUCUUACCAGAAAGGGACGGCUAACUACGUG